GAGAGUUUGUAACACCCGAAGUCGGUGAGGUAACCUUUUAGGAGCCAGCCGCCGAAGGUGGGACAGAUGAUUGGGGUGAAGUCGUAACAAGGUAGCCGUAUCGGAAGGUGCGGCUGGAUCACCUCCUCUCUAAGGAUAUUAUACGGAAUAUAAGACCUUGGGUCUU
Molecule: unclassified non-coding RNA, 166 nt
Filed under: Bacillus subtilis
Lineage: Bacteria; Bacillati; Bacillota; Bacilli; Caryophanales; Bacillaceae
Description: 16S-23S ribosomal RNA intergenic spacer
Rfam family: Bacterial small subunit ribosomal RNA (bases 1-129)
Source: RNAcentral